GCACUGGGAUAGCCUCGGAAACCGAGGUUAAUACCGGAUACUCCAUAUUUGUCGCAUGGCGAGUAUGGGGAAAGCUCCGGCGGCAAAGGAUGGGCCCGCGGCCUGUUAGCUAGUUGGUGGGGUAGUGGCCUACCAAGGCAAUGAUGGGUAGCCGGGUUGAGAGACCGACCGGCCAGAUUGGGCUGAGACACGGCCCAGACUCCUACGGGAGGCAGCAGC
RNAcentral lists this ribosomal RNA (219 nucleotides) under uncultured Atopobium sp. RNAcentral's name for it is "partial 16S ribosomal RNA". It matches the Rfam family "Bacterial small subunit ribosomal RNA", at positions 135 to 355 of the family's 1533-position model. The record is from RNAcentral. Lineage: Bacteria; Bacillati; Actinomycetota; Coriobacteriia; Coriobacteriales; Atopobiaceae.